UACAGAGGUGGCAAGCGUUGUUCGGAAUUACUGGGCGUAAAGGGCGCGUAGGCGGCCUUGUCAGUCCCUUGUGAAAUCCCCCGGCUCAACUGGGGAACUGCACGGGAAACAGCAGGGCUUGAGUUCGGGAGAUGGAAGCGGAAUUCCGGGUGUAGCGGUGAAAUGCGUAGAGAUGUGGAGGAACACCGAUGGCGAAGGCAGCCUCCUGGGCCAACACUGACGCUCAUGCACGAAAGCGUGGGGAGCAAACAGG
Molecule: ribosomal RNA, 253 nt
Filed under: uncultured bacterium
Lineage: Bacteria
Description: partial 16S ribosomal RNA
Rfam family: Bacterial small subunit ribosomal RNA
Source: RNAcentral